UGAUAUUACCUUAUUAUUAGUGUCGUCCAAAACUGGUGCCAGAAGACUCGGUAAGGCCAGAGACACAAACGUUAAUCGUCUUAAUCAGGCGUAAAGGGUUUGUAGGCGGCUUUAAAAUUUACUUAUAAUAAAAAUAAAUAAGUAAAAAAUAAAAGCUAGAAUCAAAUAGAGGAUAUAUGAAAGAAUGCUUAGAGUAGGUCUGAUAUCCUUAGAUACUAAGUAGAAUAUUAAAGGCGAAAGCUUUUUUCCAUUAAUGAUUGACGCUCAGAAACGAAGGUGAGGAUAGGAAAUAGGAUUAGAUACCCAGAUACCCCUCUCUGUCAACGAUGAAUGGUAGUUAUUAGUAAAAAUUUUAUUAAUGGCAAUGUUAACACGAUAACCAUUCCGCCUUGUGAGUACAAUUGCAAAAUUGAAAACAAAAAAA
Molecule: ribosomal RNA, 424 nt
Filed under: Russula badia
Lineage: Eukaryota; Fungi; Basidiomycota; Agaricomycetes; Russulales; Russulaceae
Description: partial 12S small subunit ribosomal RNA
Rfam family: Bacterial small subunit ribosomal RNA
Source: RNAcentral